UGUGGCUGACGUCCAAACUACCGAGGUAUAGGUUUCCUGGAACAAAGGCCAUGGACACUUGGUGUGCCUGCUCUCCAAACAGUUACAUUAUCGAUACUCCUCCUUUGAAGAAGAGGAACAUAAUAGCCACUGCUUAAGUGUGGGCUGCACAUAUUGACUUCAUCCCAAGCAGUACGGUGUGGAAAAAAGGGGGAAAGAAAAGAGCGCCUGCUUCGUAGAGAAACCUGGCAUACACUACUUCAGCCAGACUGGAGAGACAAUGGCAAGUGAGGACUGGUGGUAGCAGGCAGAGAGGGAGAAAGCGAUGGAGAGAAACAUCAAUGUGAGAGAGAAGCAUUGAUUGGUUGCCUUUUGUACAUGCACUGACUGGGGAACGAACCCACAACCCAGGCACAUGCCCUGACUGGGAAUAAAACAAAAAGUCACCACUUUUCGGUUUGCAAAACAACC
Artibeus jamaicensis (Jamaican fruit-eating bat) is the source of this 450-nucleotide long non-coding RNA. RefSeq lists it as uncharacterized. The transcript is spliced from 4 exons. The record is from RefSeq and is a predicted model, not a curated record. NCBI's taxonomy places the organism in Eukaryota, Metazoa, Chordata, Mammalia, Chiroptera, Phyllostomidae.